UUUUCUAAAAAGGCCAUCAUGUCAUCAAGGAUUUUAUUUUAAUUUUAGGCUAUGCCGUUUGAAUUCCAAAGCUUUUUGAGAACAGCCAGUGCGUAAUUUGCCAGUUAUGCAACUGCUAUUAAACUGACAGCCAGUUAUUUCAUUUUAAUUGAUUAACUUAUUUUUUAAGCCACAGACGGACGAAAAGGACUUGGUAUGUUGCAUCUGAAAUUAUGAAUGCUGACAGUUUUUAAUUAUGGAUUUAGAAAUAUUCCAUUUCAUCAGCAUGCAUCUAAAUGGAAUCGCCGAGGGAUAAAGAAAAAAAAAUAGGAAUUAAUUUAUUUGAGGAAUAUAAAAAAAAGUUGCCUUAUAAAUAAUGCAUUGACGACAGUCCGUUACUUUGCCAGUGUAUUCUUGAAGAAAACAAGGGGCUCGCACAAGAGCUGAAGACUGCCGCUCUUAAAACAAGAGAAAGAUGGUCUGACGACUCUUUUUUUUUCUUCCUUUUUUAAAAUUUUAUUUGUUGGGGGAAAAUCGACGUGGAAUAUUCCCGGCACUCCAGAGGCUGUUUCCUCACUCACUCACACACACGCACACACCUUUAGCGCCAGAGAUUUCGGAUUACUGCAAGUGUAAGGACGACUGAAGCGCACGUAUAGGCUGAGAAGUUGUCUGAAGGAGAAACUAACGGGAGUUUAUUGGGCUUUUGGAGAACCUUAAAAGAAAAAAACAAAAUCACACAGAGGAUGUUAUAACCGACAUUACUGGGUUUCUUCCAGGAUUUCAUUUGAAAUGUGACAGCAGAGCAGGACGGAUCUACCGUGCAGCACGAGUGCUCUGCCUCUCCCGGCUCGCCCCGCUUUCAUUUUAUCCACCUGCAUAUUCUACAAAAAAGGAAAAGCCUGUGCGCUUCCAAGUGGGAUGAUGCGCUCGUGAAGCGGCGCCUUACUUAUUGUAUGCACUAUGCAUCGUCCAUCCUUGGGCUGUAGUAGCUUGUUGUUGCUUGCUAGUGGAGCUAUAAAGGGAACGCGGGCGAAUGGUUUGGAUUUCUUCUUCUGCUUCUUCUUUCAUCAUCAUCAUCAACAUCAUCAUCUUCUCCCUUCUCCUCAUCAUCCAGUAUCCCGAUCGUUCGAUGAAGAGUAACGCGGCUUUCUGUUGAUCGCUGUGCAUGGAAGCCGCCCUUUCAGCGCCAGCCUGCCUGCGCAUCUUCUUCCUGGACUGCCGCUGCUGCUGCUGCAAAAAACAAGACUAGCGGAGCCGAAACGAAUGAUUUAUUCAUGGACAGAAAUUAAGGCCCAGCUGGGUUCACGUAGCCUCAGCCCUAGUAUGGACUCAGCUGCCAUAUCCCAUUAACCACAGGCCUCCUUCAUUUGCUCCUGGAAUUGCAUGCCACGUGCCAGCCUUGGAGGAACCAGCUUGGCCUUAAGAUGUGUGCAGAUCUUCUUACACAUCCAAGAUAGAGUUUCAGGUCACAGCCGGACCAUGGAGAGGCUUAUAUUUUACCUUCUGAUGCUUAGCACCUCAAUAAAGGCACAGGUGUGUCCUAAACGGUGCAUGUGCCAGACCCUUUCACCCUCCUUUGCCAUCCUGUGUGCCAAGACAGGUCUGUUGUUUGUACCAACAGUUAUUGACCGAAGAACUGUAGAACUCCGGUUAACAGACAAUUUCAUUACUGUGGUGCGGAGGAAGGAUUUUGCCAACAUGACCAGCCUCUUACACCUAACUCUGUCCAGGAACACAAUAAGCCAGAUAAUGCCUUAUACCUUUGCUGACUUAAAGGGGCUGCGGGCCCUCCACUUGGACAGUAAUCGACUGACAGUUGUUGGGGAUGACCACUUCCGAGGUCUGACGAAUCUGAGACACCUGAUUCUCAGCAACAACCAGCUGCAUGAAAUCUCUCCCAAUUCUUUUGACGACUUUCUAGGCACUUUAGAAGAUUUGGAUCUUUCCUACAAUAACUUAGUCAACAUCCCUUGGGACACGAUUGGACGCCUGACAAAUGUCAAUACGUUAAAUAUGGAUCACAACUUAAUCGAUUUUGUUCCCGAAGGGAUUUUCUCAAAUCUCCACAAGCUUGCACGAUUGGAUAUGACCUCAAACAAACUAAAAAAAAUUCCUCCGGACCCCCUUUUUCUGAGAAUUCCUGUCUAUGCCAAAUCCAAGGGAUCACCCUUAACCUCUCUGGUUCUCAGCUUUGGUGGGAAUCCUUUACACUGCAAUUGUGAGCUGCUGUGGCUCCGAAGACUGACUAGGGAGGAUGACUUGGAAACCUGUGCCUCUCCCCCCGAUCUAACGGCGAAAUACUUCUGGACUAUCCCGGAAGAGGAGUUCAUUUGUGAUCCUCCUGUUAUCACAAGGAAAUCCCCCAAGACAUUUGUAAUGGAAGGCCAGUCAAUCAGUCUCAAGUGUAAAGCUAAUGGAGAUCCCGAUCCAUCCAUCCACUGGGUUUCUCCAGAGGGGAAACUGAUAUCCAAUACCUCCAGGACUGUUUCCUUUGACAAUGGGAGUUUAGAAAUUAACAUUGCUACCGUAAAGGAUACUGGAGUUUUUACUUGCAUUGCAUCUAAUGCUGCCGGGGAAUCAACGGCUCCUGUAGAGCUUGUAGUGAAUCCUCUACCCCAUCUUGCCAACAGCACGAGUCGGGUUCGGGAGCCAGAACCUGGACCUUCGGAUAUUCUCACUUCAGCUAAAUCUACUUCUCCAUCUACCAAUGAUACUAAAUCUACACCGGACAGGAAGGUGAUUUUGGUUGAACUCACAACAAACUCGGCUCUGGUUAAGUGGCCGGUCCAGAGGCAUAUUCCAGGGAUUCGAAUGUACCAGGUUCAGUACAACAGCUCAACAGACGACACCCUUGUGUACAGGAUGAUCCCUUCCUCCAGCCAAGAUUUCCUGGUUAAGGACCUGAUCUCAGGGCGUGAGUAUGACCUCUGUGUUUUGGCUGUCUAUGAUGAUGGCAUCACUUCUCUGACUGCUACCAGGGUCGUGGGUUGUCUGCAGUUCACCACCGAUCAAGAAUAUAGCCAGUGCCAGUCUAUGCAUAGCCAAUUCCUGGGAGGAACCAUGAUCAUCAUCAUCGGAGGCAUCAUUGUGGCCUCUGUACUGGUCUUCAUUAUAAUCCUAAUGAUCCGCUACAAAGUCUAUAGCAACCAAGGGGAGCCGCGGAAGGCAAAAGUCAACAAUGUUUGCUCACAGACUAAUGGGAGUCAGUCAGGACAAGUGACCCGCUCUGCCUCUAAAGGGACAGAGAACCAAGAGGAGCAAAUACAAGCUGCUACAGGAGGUGGUGCUGGUGGAGGAGGCACAGGGGCAAGUUCAAGUGCUGCCAUGAAGGACCCUAAUACUGUGGCGCUAGUCAUGGAAUGUGAAAGGGUGACACAGAUAUCAGAAAUGACUGCAGAGGACAUUUUGUCACCUCUGAAAAGACAGAAAUCAAGGACUAGCUUUGAUCUAACAAGGCGAUCGUCUAUGUCUUGUAAGGAAAUGAAAAGCCCAGAAGGAUCUGCAGAUGCACAGAUGGCUCAGGCUGCAGAAGAGAAGAAGAGUCCCCGGGAAUGGAGUGAUUUUAAAAUUUGAUGACUUCGUUCACAGACCCUGGGAAACAGCCAUCAUUCUAAAGAAACAUUCCAAGUCGUGUUGUCCUACUGGAAUCGACGUGGUGGCCAGUACGACUUGUUUGUCUUACCCCCAAAAUGGACGUUCCUUCUCUUUUCCUAUAACCCCUAUGAAACACAAAGACUUUUAAAGUAAACUGCAUUUGCACUGAGCUCACUCCCCGACACCACCUUUGAUCACUGACUUUAAAGCACCUACAGCCUUUUAUGUUUGCUUCAGAUCGGACUAGCCAUAUAUUUCCAAGCUCUACAACACUACUGGACUGGAUAGGAGGACACAGCAGCAGGUAUGCCCCUUGUUUCCUGAAAACUAAAAGUCUACAUUACAAUUCUUCUUUUUUCAAAAAGGAAGAGACAAUGGAUAAUUUCUGCUGCUGCGCUGCCCCUUGAUCACUUAAAAUUAUAAAGUUAUAAUAAGUUUAAUGAGGAUUGUUGCCAUCACACGCCAAUCGGAGCUUUCACAAAAAAAUAAGAGUCCCAUUUCAAUUCUCAAGUCAUUCUUUUUUUUUGUAUUUGUACAUACUUGUGUUUCAAAUCUUAUAGUUUUGUACAUGUAAUUUUUUAUGGUGUGUGAAAUUUUUUUUAUAAUAAAAAUUCCAAAUAAAUAAAAA
Erpetoichthys calabaricus (reedfish) is the source of this 4204-nucleotide RNA transcript. It is a transcript of the gene named leucine-rich repeat and fibronectin type III domain-containing protein 1-like protein, with no coding region annotated. The record is from RefSeq and is a predicted model, not a curated record. The transcript has 7 exons. NCBI's taxonomy places the organism in Eukaryota, Metazoa, Chordata, Cladistia, Polypteriformes, Polypteridae.